Molecule: RNA transcript, 2671 nt
Organism: Carya illinoinensis
Lineage: Eukaryota; Viridiplantae; Streptophyta; Magnoliopsida; Fagales; Juglandaceae
Gene name: disease resistance-like protein DSC1
Exons: 5
Source: RefSeq, a predicted model, not a curated record
AUUAAAUUGCAACCGGAAGCAUUUGGACUGAUGAAAAGGCUUAGUGUUUAUAAAUUGUAAUGCGCGUUUUUCUUGUGGACUCAAUUAUCUACCUGACAAUUCGAGAGUGCUUGAUUGGUCCGAAUAUCCUUCACAGUCUUUGCCACAUAAUUUUCAAGGGAAGAAACUCAUUGCCUUCAGAAUGCGUGAUAGCUUCAUCAAGGAAUUAGGGAAUGGAUUCAGGCCGAAGAAUUUGGGGACUCUGGCUUUCUAUAAUUGUAAGUUCUUUAAAAUUCCAGAUCUUUCAAGCACUUCAAAUUUGAAGGAAUUGAGUGUUGAAUAUUGUUUGAGACUUUUUCAAGUGCAUGAUUCGGUUGGAUCACUGGAAAAUCUUUCUGAUUUGAGUUUUGAGGGAUGCUCUGCACUCCAAAUUCUUCCAAAAAGCCUCAAGUUGAGAUCUUUACGAAAGCUUAGACUUGGUAAUUGCUCAAGCCUUGUUGAACUUCCUGAAAUCGAGUGUAUAACGGAAUCUUUAAGUAGAUUGGAUCUAGGUGGUACUGCAAUAGAAGAACUACCUUUAUCCAUCCGGAACCUCAUUGGACUUGAGCAUUUAGUUCUAAGUCGCUGCAAAAACCUCAUGCGUCUCCCAAAUGCUUGCACUCAAUUGCAACAUUUACGUGAGGUUUGUAUUGGUGGUUGUACCAAUAUUGCAAAAAAGAUGAGGGAUGAUGAUGGACAAUCCCUUCUGCCUAUUGAAUCUACAACAACGAAAGACUUUAUAUUAUCAAGUGAUGAACAACUCCAUGAAUCAAAUUUCUUUCCAAUAUCAAGUUUCUUUACCAUGUUUACUUCUGUGUCCACUUUGCAUCGAUUAGAUCUGUCAGGGACUGAAAUAGUUAGUCUUCCCUUGAGCAUUAAAGGACUCGUUAGCCUAAUUAAUCUUGAGCUGCACAAUUGCCAGAAGCUCAAAGAAAUACUGGUGCUUCCACCAAAUAUAAAAGAAGUAGAUGUUUCGCAAUGCGAGUCAUUAGAAAGAUUUGCAGAAGUAUCAAAAGUAUUGCAAUUCAAUGGAAGCCACAUCAGAUCGCUACAAAGUGUUGAAUUGUCUGGCUGCAAGAAAAUGCACGUGAAUAUAUGGAAUGAUAAAGUUCAAAAUCCUUUAUUGUGGAAGGGACUCUAUGAUUUUGAUGCUACUUUGCUUCCAGAAAAUCAGAUUCCAGACUGGUUGAGUUAUGUUCAUGAGUUUUUGGAUAAUGAAAUGGUGAAGGGGCAUGACGAAGAGUGGGAAAUAGAUAUUGAGGGGCCACUCUAUUUGGAGGAGAUCAGCGGAAUUGUAUUAUAUGUCGUCGUGUUUUUUAAAGAUGCUUGGAGCUGGCAGGGAAUUAUUGAUAACGCUAAGAUAACUAUUGCUGGCUCAAAUCGUGUGUGCCAAAUUCAAAACGGGGUAGAAUUACUUAAUAUGGAUUGGCUCAAUAUAGGAGGAACUGGAUAUGAUGUGUGGGUGGGGUACUCCAAUUUACAAUCUUUUGACCUCAAGGUUCUACCCAAUUUGCUAGUUCAAUUUGAUCUCCGUCGUUGUGAUCCUGGGAGAGUACCAUUUUAUCAAAGUUGCAGAGCCAAAGUGGUAUACAAGGAUGAAAGGAGAGAGAAGAAAAAAACAAAAAUUGAAGCCGAUAUUGCAAAAAGUCCUGAUCAACAGCAAUUGAAUUAAGGAUAACCCAAGAGAGUCUCUAGUGCUAACCACAGCAAUCCAAAAUUCCGUACAUCUCGGAGGAUUUGCGCGAAUUCACCCCCUCAUGAGGCCAGCAUAUCAUCCAUCCUCUAGCUUUUUAGAAGUCGACAAAGUACAAACAUUACGUUGGUUCCAAAACUGACUGGUGCACUAUCUGUAAGUUCACAGUGGCAUGCAUGUUGCUCUUCCUAUCAUCAGUGGAAAGAACCAGUUGCAAUAAGAGCAGAACUUUCACCUCCACCAUCAACGAAGGUGAGGACUUUCCCAAAUAACUGCCCAUGGAGGAUAAAGUCAUAAUAACUGCAGUUUGUGAUGUGCAUCUAAAGCUUAAGACAAUGUGCUUUGCUAUUUCUGGAAAACGAAUUUUAAGAAUAAUUAAAGGAAGACAUAAAAGUGAGAAGCCAUACAUCUAUUCUCAAUUUCUCAAUUUCUUCGUAGAAUUGCUCACAAUGGUUUUGGAAAGCAGAAAUGUAAUUUAAACAGAAAGCACUACGGGGAUAGCAGAAAAGCAGGAAUUUGAAUACACAUACAUAUGCACAAAGAGAGACUGUGACAAGCAUUUGAAGGAAAAUUUCACUUAUUAUGGCUAUCAAAUCUCUGCCUGUCUAAACAUCUCAUCUUCAAAACAGGAUUCUGUGCUGCACAUAUCCACACAAAUAUUUAUGUCCACGCAAAGUGUCACUGAAGCCAGGAAGAUGGAACUUGGCCUUGGUGCAGUGCAAACCUGAUGCAGGAGGAUCUGUUUUUGGGCGAUUCUCUUAUGUUCUUUCCUGUGAAUUAUCUGUUGAAACUAGCCUGCAGAAUAAUCGCUAUUCUGUCCGGUAUCAAAACCCUACAGCUAGUUUAUCUAGGUAGUUACUUCCUUUUUUAUUAGGUAUUCCUAUAUGUUUUGUAUGAUUGUAUCAGCUGUGUUUGCAGUUGGAGCAACUGGAGACAGGAAAAUGGAAGAAAGUUCAAAUC